RNAcentral lists this long non-coding RNA (237 nucleotides) under Salvator merianae (Argentine black and white tegu). RNAcentral describes it as "lncRNA (ENSSMRG00000010085.1)". Lineage: Eukaryota; Metazoa; Chordata; Lepidosauria; Squamata; Teiidae. The record is from RNAcentral.
UAUCCCUUGGGAUGGAGAAAGUAUAAUUGUCCCUAUUUUUUUAAAAGGUGACAAACAGGAUCCCAGCAACUAUUAUUCUAUACUAAAGGCGUUGUCUUGAGAAGUAAAUUUUACAAGGUGAGUAACUGUUUUCCCAAUUAAAGAUUUGGUUUUGGAUCCUCUAUUUUUGUCAUCUGUUUUAAUAGGGAAAAGUUAAGUAUGGUAAAUUGCACUGAAAUCAAUACAUUUAAUGUUUGU